UUACGGAAGGCAGCAGUGGGGAAUCUUGCGCAAUGGGCGAAAGCCUGACGCAGCAACGCCGCGUGUGUGAUGAAGGUCUUCGGAUCGUAAAGCACUGUCGGGAGGGACGAAUAAGGCGCCGGCUAACAUCCGGCGACGAUGACGGUACCUCCAAAGGAAGCACCGGCUAACUCUGUGCCAGCAGCCGCGGUAAUACAGAGGGUGCAAGCGUUGUUCGGAAUUAUUGGGCGUAAAGCGCGUGUAGGCGGCCCCGCAAGUCAGGUGUGAAAGCCCUCGGCUUAACCGAGGAAGUGCGCCUGAAACUACAGGGCUUGAGUACCGGAGAGGGUGGCGGAAUUCCCGGUGUAGAGGUGAAAUUCGUAGAUAUCGGGAGGAACACCAGUGGCGAAGGCGGCCACCUGGACGGCUACUGACGCUGAGACGCGAAAGCGUGGGGAGCAAACAGGAUUAGAUACCCGGGUA
This 462-nucleotide ribosomal RNA is filed under the name uncultured bacterium. RNAcentral describes it as "bacterial SSU rRNA". It matches the Rfam family "Bacterial small subunit ribosomal RNA", at positions 339 to 792 of the family's 1533-position model. The record is from RNAcentral.